GAGAGAUGGGCUUAGCAGCUUCAUAUCAAUUGGUCGUCUGCUGCCUCUGCCUCCUAUGUGGGUGAUGAUGUUACUUUCCAGGAAGCUUUGGGCGAGGUGGCUGCCGACUGCCAAAGUAACUCUUUGUAUAUCCAGUCUGCUUUCCAGAGGUUGUAGCCUUGCUCUGUAACCAUCGUACACAGCUUCAGAAUUCUCCAUGUAUCCUGAGGAGGAAAUGUACCUGGUGCCUCAAUUUUGUACCAAGUAAAAACCUUGAAGACAAAGUAAACACCAAUGACAGAAUGCAGAAAUGGUGUUGUAUGAUAAACCCUGAAGACUACUGAGAACCCAAAGUAAAUUGGAAUAUAUUGUUUUGUGAUUUGAAGACUCAAAAAGAAUUUUUCUUUUAGCUUUCUUUAAUUUUCCCUUAGAAAAUGUAAACUGUGUUUUGAUGUGAAACAUUCUAAGUUUAGACACCCACAGGCAAGUUGUUUUCUCUAAUUAAAACAAAAUGAAUACAAAUUUCUUACACAUAUAUUUUUAAAUGUGAGAAAUGUACUUUAAUGUUUCUAAAGACUCCUCAGCAGUCAAACUGCCUCAUUCUGAAAAUACUACUUUUUGCAGCCACCUAAAAUAGUUAUCAAAGUAUAUUUGACACACCAAAAUCAUCUCAUACUUGUGUACUAUUUAAUAAUUGGUAUCUUGGGACCAUUUGCCCCAAAUAUUUCACAGUCCUUAAAAAAAUGUCUAUCAGAAGACAUUAUACAAACAUAUUUACACCUAAAACUGUUUAAUUAUCAAAAAUUGUUCAACAAAUUAUAUGUUUAAUUUUAUUAGCUAAAACAUUUUUCUACUUCCCUUUAGUAAUGUGAUGUAACUUAAUGUCUUCUGAAAAGAUAAGGA
Molecule: long non-coding RNA, 882 nt
Organism: Hippopotamus amphibius kiboko
Lineage: Eukaryota; Metazoa; Chordata; Mammalia; Artiodactyla; Hippopotamidae
Exons: 4
Source: RefSeq, a predicted model, not a curated record